AGGACGAACGCUGGCGGCGUGCUUAACACAUGCAAGUCGAACGGAAAGGCCCUUCGGGGUACUCGAGUGGCGAACGGGUGAGUAACACGUGGGUGAUCUGCCCUGCACUUUGGGAUAAGCCUGGGAAACUGGGUCUAAUACCGAAUAGGACCGCAUGCUUCAUGGUGUGUGGUGGAAAGCUUUUGCGGUGUGGGAUGGGCCCGCGGCCUAUCAGCUUGUUGGUGAGGUAAUGGCUUACCAAGGCGACGACGGGUAGCCGGCCUGAGAGGGUGACCGGCCACACUGGGACUGAGAUACGGCCCAGACUCCUACGGGAGGCAGCAGUGGGGAAUAUUGCACAAUGGGCGCAAGCCUGAUGCAGCGACGCCGCGUGAGGGAUGACGGCCUUCGGGUUGUAAACCUCUUUCGCCAGGGACGAAGCGCAAGUGACGGUACCUGGAGAAGAAGGACCGGCCAACUACGUGCCAGCAGCCGCGGUAAUACGUAGGGUCCGAGCGUUGUCCGGAAUUACUGGGCGUAAAGAGCUCGUAGGUGGUUUGUCGCGUUGUUCGUGAAAACUCACAGCUUAACUGUGGGCGUGCGGGCGAUACGGGCAGACUUGAGUACUGCAGGGGAGACUGGAAUUCCUGGUGUAGCGGUGGAAUGCGCAGAUAUCAGGAGGAACACCGGUGGCGAAGGCGGGUCUCUGGGCAGUAACUGACGCUGAGGAGCGAAAGCGUGGGGAGCGAACAGGAUUAGAUACCCUGGUAGUCCACGCCGUAAACGGUGGGUACUAGGUGUGGGUUUCCUUCCUUGGGAUCCGUGCCGUAGCUAACGCAUUAAGUACCCCGCCUGGGGAGUACGGCCGCAAGGCUAAAACUCAAAGAAAUUGACGGGGGCCCGCACAAGCGGCGGAGCAUGUGGAUUAAUUCGAUGCAACGCGAAGAACCUUACCUGGGUUUGACAUGCACAGGACGCCGGCAGAGAUGUCGGUUCCCUUGUGGCCUGUGUGCAGGUGGUGCAUGGCUGUCGUCAGCUCGUGUCGUGAGAUGUUGGGUUAAGUCCCGCAACGAGCGCAACCCUUGUCUCAUGUUGCCAGCACGUUAUGGUGGGGACUCGUGAGAGACUGCCGGGGUCAACUCGGAGGAAGGUGGGGAUGACGUCAAGUCAUCAUGCCCCUUAUGUCCAGGGCUUCACACAUGCUACAAUGGCCGGUACAAAGGGCUGCGAUGCCGUGAGGUGGAGCGAAUCCUUUCAAAGCCGGUCUCAGUUCGGAUCGGGGUCUKCAACUCGACCCCKUGAAGUCGGAGUCGCUAGUAAUCGCAGAUCAGYAACGCUKCGGUGAAUAC
This 1328-nucleotide ribosomal RNA is filed under the name Mycobacterium sp. 6PY1. Its description in RNAcentral is "bacterial SSU rRNA". It matches the Rfam family "Bacterial small subunit ribosomal RNA", at positions 26 to 1369 of the family's 1533-position model. Lineage: Bacteria; Bacillati; Actinomycetota; Actinomycetes; Mycobacteriales; Mycobacteriaceae. The record is from RNAcentral.